This 3866-nucleotide unclassified non-coding RNA is filed under the name Portunus trituberculatus (swimming crab). Its description in RNAcentral is "bestrophin-4-like, transcript variant X2". Lineage: Eukaryota; Metazoa; Arthropoda; Malacostraca; Decapoda; Portunidae. The record is from RNAcentral.
CACACUACAAGAAGCCCAACGUAGUGCAAGAAUGUGACCUGAGCUGCAUUCCACACUAAUCAUUAAAUCUGUCACGCUACACUGACUGGUUGCCUAGACACGGUGGGCUGGCAACUGACGGGACAAUGCGCUAAUUUAUAUUCAAUUGGCUGUCCUUUCUUCCAACUAGAGCUGAGAGAACAUGGAGAAUAGACAGAGAGAGAGGCUGGGGUGUAUAGAGCGUGAACGUGUGCAAGGAGUAACCUGUUGAUCGUGACACAGGGUGGUGGUGUGAGACGAGAGGAGGUGAAGGGGAAGUAGUGUGUGUGUAUGUGUGUGUGUGUCAAGGUGUCAUUGUACAACAGCAGACAGUAAGGCAACAUGACUGUCACCUACACUCAUGAGGUGGCAGACUGCAAGGGUUUUGGUAACUUCUGGCGGCUUCUUUUCAGAUGGCGAGGCAGUGUGUACAAGCUGGUGUGGCUGGAUCUGCUCUGCUACACCACCAUCUACACUGUCCUGUCGGUGGUGUACAGGGUGGUGCUUGCCGAGGACCAGAAGAGGUUGUUUGAAAAAGUGUCCCUCUACUGCAACUACUUCAGUGACUACAUUCCUGUGUCCUUUGUGCUGGGUUUCUAUGUGUCCAUUGUCAUCAAACGUUGGUGGGACCAGUACCAGACCCUUCUGUGGCCUGACUCCCUGGCGCUGUUUGUCUCCACCUGCAUGCAUGGCCAUGACCGCCAGGGAAGGCUGAUGAGGCGCACCAUUCUCCGUUACGUCAACCUUUCCUUCGUCCUCACACUCACCAUGAUCACCCCAAGAGCUAAGAAGAGAUUCCCCACCUUGGACCAUAUUGUAGAAGCAGGCUUCAUGACAACAAAUGAGAAGAAGAUUUUCUCUGCCAUGGUAGAAAAGACAGACCACCCCCUCUAUUAUGUCCCCCUGGUGUGGGCUGGAACCCUAGUGUCUCGGGCCAGGAAGGAGGGCCGAAUUAGGGACGACUUUGCAGUGAAGACGAUCAUGGACGAGCUAAACAAUCUGCGUAUCAAGAUUAACGGCUUGAUUAGCUACGACUGGAUCAGCAUCCCUCUGGUGUACACUCAGGUGGUGAGUCUGGCUGUGUACACCUUCUUUGUGUCUACCAUCAUGGGACGGCAGUUUCUCGACCCCAAGCAGAACUACCCAAAGAAUAACAUCGACUUCUACUUCCCAAUCUUCACCAUGCUGCAGUUCUUCUUCUAUAUGGGCUGGCUCAAAGUGGCAGAGUCCCUCGUGAACCCAUUCGGUGAAGACGAUGAUGACUUUGAGGUGAACUGGCUCAUCGAUCGGAACAUUCAGGUUUCAUAUCUCAUAGUGGACGAGAUGCACAACGAACACCCGGAGCUGAUGCAGGACCUGUACUGGGACGAGGUGUUCCCGCAGGAAUUGCCUUACACUGUGGCAGCCGAGCAGUACAAGCGUGACCCCCCAAUGGGCAGCACCGCCAACCUGCGAGUGCCCGAAGCUGAGCAGGAAUUUGUACCCACGUUGGAGGAGGUGCUGGAAGAGAAGAUGGAGGAGAGCGAGGAGGCAGAGAAGACAGAUGGAACACCAGGAGUGAGGCGUUUGGACUCGGCACGUUCUAUUGGUUCAUCCAUGUCUGGGCGGAAGAGUUCGCUCAUGUCCAUCCUGCACAAUAAGUGGCGACGUGGCGACCUGCGCAGCUCCAUGGGCAGUCAGAUAUCCGUAAGAAAAAGCCGCAUGCGUUCAGUGAGCCAGUCGGGUUCACAAGUCUCGGAUGCCUCCUUUGGUUCCUCCGUCAUCAAGAGAAACAACACAAACACGUCAUUUCAGGACAGUGACAUGCAUCUAUCACAUGAAUCCAUGAUCGAUGGGAACGGAGAAGGAAUACCAGUCUUUCUCUCCUCUUCCCCUAAACCAAACCGUAAGAAGAUCAUCCCAUCCCUCGCCACCAUCAAGUCCUCCUCUUCCACUUCAAGCCACCACUCCAAUCGUGUCCACCCCCAGGGAGACGCUGAUCCAGUAGUCAUCAAGGUGGCAGAUCUUCAAGUGGACAGUGUGGUGGACAAAAAUAUAGACAAAGGAGCAAUGAGUCAUUCAAGAGUUGGUUCCCCACACAGCGUUGCAGACUCCACAGCUUCUGCCAUGGCGUCAAUCUUCACCAUACAGGGUUCUGAGAUACACGAGGGAGACAAUAGAGAGGAAGUGAUGGAGAGGAGUCAGUCAGCAGGCAGCCACAAGGAGCCACACUUAAGUAAGAGUGAUGCAGAAAAACCAACAAGUGCCGAGGGAACUCAGGGGGAUGCUGCUGUGGAGGAUGCCAAAGAGGUGAUGCCUGGAGAAGAUGCACCAGAGGAUGAGAAUGUCCACUAGGGAACAUCACAUAGUCAACAGUGGGAAGCGUGACCCAAGCUGACCAAGACUACCUACCGGCUAGUGAUAUGCAGGUCAUCUCACUCGGCUAACUCUUCUGAACACGAGACCCAAGACUGAAGUUUAUUCCCAUCUGUUGCCUUUCAUGAGGGACAAUGCAUGUGGUAAAUAUGCACAGUUAAGAGCAAGUGACUGGUUGGGCCUCCUUGACAAACCCCAACAGAUAACUCAACUACUGCUGACUUUGUGACAGUGUUGUGCACAUUGCAUCCAUUGCUUUGAUCACUACCUUUCCACAUGCCAGUCAUCCAAGGCUCUCAAUCAGCCUAUCUCCAAGGAUCUGAUUGCAUGCCUUAAUCAACAAAUAGUACAUGAGGUUUUGUCUUCUAAUAUAGAGCAUAAUUGCUUAAUAAUAUGGCUGUUUCCUAGACAUAAUCUGUUCAUCUUAGCAUAUGUGUAUUUUCUCCUAUAGUCUAGGUCUGUUCAUUAUCAUGGUAGCAUUAAGUGAAGCUAAGGUGUCCAUUACCCUAAAAUGUCAAUAGUUCCUGCACAUCACAGUUACCUGACUCAAACAAAAGCACUAGUUUAUUGUAGCACCAGUGCAGGGCAGCACUUCCCAUUAAACAGUGCAAUAAAGAUAGCCAAGCUAAAUACUCACCAAAAUAUGUAAGGCUAGACACAUUCCCAUGCAACUUAACAUAGAUUGUUAUUGAGAUAAUUGUUAUCUGGCCAGACUUAUCAAUUAGGAAAGGGGCCAUCUUAAAUAAGUAUGUUUGCUGAGACAAUACUUUACACAGCCACAUUAUCCAGGAAACAUUCCUUUAGCUAGAGAGAUCCCAGACAGGUAAACAGGUGACUUAAAUUCUUCCUAGGAUUGCUGUCAAAUGUUGUGGUGCAAUGUUAUGACAAACCCACUAAAGAGAAGUGGUUAUUGUGUGUAUCCAUCAUGUGGUACACACACUGUGCUGUUAUUGUGUACACUUUGUAUCACUUGUUUGUCUGAACCUGUGAUCUUUAUAUGGAACAGUUCUUGGUACAAAGAGGAACAUGUGUGAAGUGCAGUGCUGCCUUGGUUUGAGAGUUGAAUUGUUCCAGAGAGCCACUCAUUAAUUAACAAAGUUUGACUGAUGAUUCCCUCCAUUGAGAGCAGUGCUGAGAGUGAUAGUCCCUAAAAAACUACUUAAGUCUAUGUCAGAGCAAGCAGUUGCUGGCCAGUGCUUGUAACCCCAAUUAAUACAAUCAGGGACACUCACAUCCCAAGGUAUCACUGCAUCAGGGUUGUUCCUCUCCAAAAAUCUUAGGUUCUCAUUGACUGUGAUAUUUCUUUUAGUGUGCUAACUGUACCAAUAACUAUUCCAGCUCACCUUUCCCCAAAUGUACCAAAAUACUAAUACACCCUUAUCAUAUCACACAAGUAAUAUAAAACCUGCUAUUUAUAUCCACUAUGUUCUUUUAGAGGAUGUAUUAGGAUUUGAAAGGGACUGUUAGAAAUAAAAGGCUGGGCAUGCAUUGAA